CCUACGGGGGGCAGCAGUGGGGAAUAUUGGGCAAUGGGCGCAAGCCUGACCCAGCAAAGCCGCGUGAAGGAAGAAGGCUUUCGGGUUGUAAACUUCUUUUAUCAGGGACGAAGAAAGUUACGGUAGCUGAUGAAUAAGCCACGGCUAACUACGUGCCAGCAGCCGCGGUAAUCAGUAGGUGGCAAGCGUUAUGCGGAUUUACUGGGUGUAAAGGGCGUGUAGGCGGGAGGGCAAGUCAGAGGUGAAAACUCUGGGCUCAACCCAUAGCCUGCAUUUGAAACUGUACUUCUUGAGUGCUGGAGAGGCAAUCGGAAUUCCGUGUGUAGCGGUGAAAUGCGUAGAUAUACGGAGGAACACCAGUGGCGAAGGCGGAUUGCUGGACCGUAACUGACGCUGAGGCUCGAAAGCGUGGGGAGCAAACAGGAUUAGAUACCCUAGUAGUC
Molecule: ribosomal RNA, 443 nt
Filed under: uncultured bacterium
Lineage: Bacteria
Description: partial 16S ribosomal RNA
Rfam family: Bacterial small subunit ribosomal RNA
Source: RNAcentral